This 468-nucleotide ribosomal RNA is filed under the name uncultured bacterium. RNAcentral describes it as "partial 16S ribosomal RNA". It matches the Rfam family "Bacterial small subunit ribosomal RNA", at positions 28 to 507 of the family's 1533-position model. The record is from RNAcentral.
GACGAACGCUGGCGGCGUGCUUAACACAUGCAAGUCGAACGGAAAGGCCCUGCUUUUGUGGGGUGCUCGAGUGGCGAACGGGUGAGUAACACGUGAGUAACCUGCCCUUGACUUUGGGAUAACUUCAGGAAACUGGGGCUAAUACCGGAUAGGAGCUCCUGCUGCAUGGUGGGGGUUGGAAAGUUUCGGCGGUUGGGGAUGGACUCGCGGCUUAUCAGCUUGUUGGUGGGGUAGUGGCUUACCAAGGCUUUGACGGAUAGCCGGCCUGAGAGGGUGACCGGCCACAUUGGGACUGAGAUACGGCCCAGACUCCUACGGGAGGCAGCAGUGGGGAAUAUUGCACAAUGGGCGGAAGCCUGAUGCAGCAACGCCGCGUGCGGGAUGACGGCCUUCGGGUUGUAAACCGCUUUCGCCUGUGACGAAGCGUGAGUGACGGUAAUGGGUAAAGAAGCACCGGCCAACUACGUG